This 488-nucleotide ribosomal RNA is filed under the name uncultured bacterium. Its description in RNAcentral is "bacterial SSU rRNA". It matches the Rfam family "Bacterial small subunit ribosomal RNA", at positions 30 to 514 of the family's 1533-position model. The record is from RNAcentral.
AUUGAACGCUGGCGGCAUGCCUUACACAUGCAAGUCGAACGGCAGCACGGGAGCAAUCCUGGUGGCGAGUGGCGAACGGGUGAGUAAUAUAUCGGAACGUGCCCAGUAGUGGGGGAUAGCCCGGCGAAAGCCGGAUUAAUACCGCAUACGACCUGAGGGUGAAAGCGGGGGAUCGCAAGACCUCGCGCUAUUGGAGCGGCCGAUAUCAGAUUAGCUAGUUGGUGGGGUAAAGGCCUACCAAGGCUACGAUCUGUAGUUGGUCUGAGAGGACGACCAGCCACACUGGGACUGAGACACGGCCCAGACUCCUACGGGAGGCAGCAGUGGGGAAUUUUGGACAAUGGGCGCAAGGCCUGAUCCAGCAAUGCCGCGUGCAGGAAGACGGCCCUAUGGGUUGUAAACUGCUUUUCCAGGGAGAGAAACUUACGCACGUGUUGCGUGACUGACGGUACCCUGGGAAUAAGCAUCGGCUAACUCCGUGCCAGCAG